RNAcentral lists this ribosomal RNA (912 nucleotides) under uncultured bacterium. RNAcentral describes it as "bacterial SSU rRNA". It matches the Rfam family "Bacterial small subunit ribosomal RNA", at positions 1 to 909 of the family's 1533-position model. The record is from RNAcentral.
CUUAGAGUUUGAUCCUGGCUCAGGAUGAACGCUAGCUACAGGCUUAACACAUGCAAGUCGAGGGGCAGCAUGAACUUAGCUUGCUAAGUUUGAUGGCGACCGGCGCACGGGUGAGUAACACGUAUCCAACCUUCCGUUUACUCAGGGAUAGCCUUUCGAAAGAAAGAUUAAUACCUGAUAGUAUGGUGAGAUUGCAUGAUAGCACCAUUAAAGAUUUAUUGGUAAACGAUGGGGAUGCGUUCCAUUAGGUAGUAGGCGGGGUAACGGCCCACCUAGCCGACGAUGGAUAGGGGUUCUGAGAGGAAGGUCCCCCACAUUGGAACUGAGACACGGUCCAAACUCCUACGGGAGGCAGCAGUGAGGAAUAUUGGUCAAUGGGCGAGAGCCUGAACCAGCCAAGUAGCGUGAAGGAUGAAGGUCCUACGGAUUGUAAACUUCUUUUAUACGGGAAUAAAGUAUCCUACGUGUAGGAUUUUGUAUGUACCGUAUGAAUAAGCAUCGGCUAACUCCGUGCCAGCAGCCGCGGUAAUACGGAGGAUGCGAGCGUUAUCCGGAUUUAUUAAGUUUAAAGGGAGCGCAGACGGGAGAUUAAGUCAGUUGUGAAAGUUUGCGGCUCAACCGUAAAAUUGCAGUUGAUACUGGUUUCCUUGAGUGCAGUUGAGGCAGGCGGAAUUCGUGGUGUAGCGGUGAAAUGCUUAGAUAUCACGAAGAACUCCGAUUGCGAAGGCAGCACACUAAUCCGUAACUGACGUUCAUGCUCGAAAGUGUGGGUAUCAAACAGGAUUAGAUACCCUGGUAGUCCACACGGUAAACGAUGGAUACUCGCUGUUGGCGAUAUACUGUCAGCGGCUUAGCGAAAGCGUUAAGUAUCCCACCUGGGAAGUACGCYGGCAACGGUGAAACUCAAAGGAA